This 253-nucleotide ribosomal RNA is filed under the name uncultured bacterium. Its description in RNAcentral is "partial 16S ribosomal RNA". It matches the Rfam family "Bacterial small subunit ribosomal RNA", at positions 524 to 776 of the family's 1533-position model. The record is from RNAcentral.
UACGUAGGGAGCGAGCGUUAUCCGGAAUUAUUGGGUGUAAAGGGUGCGUAGACGGGAAUGCAAGUUAGUUGUGAAAUCCCUCGGCUUAACUGAGGAACUGCAACUAAAACUACAUUUCUUGAGUGCAGGAGAGGUAAGUGGAAUUCCUAGUGUAGCGGUGAAAUGCGUAGAUAUUAGGAGGAACACCAGUGGCGAAGGCGACUUACUGGACUGUAACUGACGUUGAGGCACGAAAGUGUGGGGAGCAAACAGG